UACGUAGGGGGCUAGCGUUGUCCGGAUUUAUUGGGCGUAAAGAGCGUGUAGGCGGCCAGACAGGUCUGCUGUGAAAACUCGAGGCUCAACCUCGAGAUGUCGGCGGAAACCGUCUGGCUAGAGUCCGGAAGAGGAGAGUGGAAUUCCUGGUGUAGCGGUGAAAUGCGCAGAUAUCAGGAAGAACACCUAUGGCGAAGGCAGCUCUCUGGGACGGUACUGACGCUGAGGAGCGAAAGCGUGGGGAGCAAACAGG
This 253-nucleotide ribosomal RNA is filed under the name uncultured bacterium. RNAcentral describes it as "partial 16S ribosomal RNA". It matches the Rfam family "Bacterial small subunit ribosomal RNA", at positions 524 to 776 of the family's 1533-position model. The record is from RNAcentral.